Molecule: ribosomal RNA, 448 nt
Filed under: uncultured bacterium
Lineage: Bacteria
Description: bacterial SSU rRNA
Rfam family: Bacterial small subunit ribosomal RNA
Source: RNAcentral
ACUCCUACGGGAGGCAGCAGUAGGGAAUAUUGGACAAUGGGCGAAAGCCUGAUCCAGCAAUGCCGCGUGAGUGAUGAAGGCCUUAGGGUUGUAAAGCUCUUUUACCCGGGAUGAUAAUGACAGUACCGGGAGAAUAAGCUCCGGCUAACUCCGUGCCAGCAGCCGCGGUAAUACGGAGGGAGCUAGCGUUGUUCGGAAUUACUGGGCGUAAAGCGCACGUAGGCGGCUAUUCAAGUCAGAGGUGAAAGCCCGGGGCUCAACCCCGGAACUGCCUUUGAAACUAGAUAGCUUGAAUCCAGGAGAGGUGAGUGGGAAUUCCGAGUGUAGAGGUGAAAUUCGUAGAUAUUCGGAAGAACACCAGUGGCGAAGGCGGCUCACUGGACUGGUAUUGACGCUGAGGUGCGAAAGCGUGGGAGCAAACAGGAUUAGAUACCCUGGUAGCGACUGA